Molecule: ribosomal RNA, 467 nt
Filed under: uncultured bacterium
Lineage: Bacteria
Description: partial 16S ribosomal RNA
Rfam family: Bacterial small subunit ribosomal RNA
Source: RNAcentral
GAUGAACGCUGGCGGCGUGCUUAACACAUGCAAGUCGAACGGAAAGGCUCCUGCUUACAGGGGUACUCGAGUGGCGAACGGGUGAGUAACACGUGGGUGAUCUGCCCUGCACUUCGGGAUAAGCCUGGGAAACUGGGUCUAAUACCGGAUAGGACCACAUUUUGGAUGGUGUGGUGGAAAGUUUUUCGGUGUGGGAUGAGCUCGCGGCCUAUCAGCUUGUUGGUGGGGUAAUGGCCUACCAAGGCGUCGACGGGUAGCCGGCCUGAGAGGGUGUACGGCCACAUUGGGACUGAGAUACGGCCCAGACUCCUACGGGAGGCAGCAGUGGGGAAUAUUGCACAAUGGGCGCAAGCCUGAUGCAGCGACGCCGCGUGGGGGAUGACGGCCUUCGGGUUGUAAACUCCUUUCGCUAGGGACGAAGCGUUUUUGUGACGGUACCUGGAGAAGAAGCACCGGCUAACUACGUG